RNAcentral lists this ribosomal RNA (253 nucleotides) under uncultured bacterium. Its description in RNAcentral is "partial 16S ribosomal RNA". It matches the Rfam family "Bacterial small subunit ribosomal RNA", at positions 524 to 776 of the family's 1533-position model. The record is from RNAcentral.
GACAGAGGGUGCAAACGUUGUUCGGAGUUACUGGGCGUAAAGCGUGUGUAGGCGGCCGCGCAAGUCGGAUGUGAAAGCCCUGGGCUCAACCCAGGAAGUGCACCCGAUACUGCAUGGCUCGAGUACUGGAGAGGUUGGUGGAAUUCUCGGUGUAGAGGUGAAAUUCGUAGAUAUCGAGAGGAACACCGGUGGCGAAGGCGGCCAACUGGACAGAUACUGACGCUGAGACACGAAAGCGUGGGGAGCAAACAGG